GAUGAAAGAACGUAGCGAAAUGCGAUAAGUAGUGUGAAUUGCAGAAUUCAGUGAAUCAUCGAAUCUUUGAACGCACAUUGCGCCCCUUGGUAUCCCGAGGGGCAUGCCUGUUCGAGCGUCAUUUCACCACUCAAGCCUGGCUUGGUGUUGGGCGACGUCCUCUUUGGGGACGCGCCUCGAAACGCUCGGCGGCGUGGCACCGGCUUUAAGCGUAGCAGAAUCUUUCGCUUUGGAAGUCGGGGCCCCGUCUGCCGGAAGACCUGCUCGCAAGGUUGACCUCGGAUCAGGCAGGGAUACCCGCUGAACUUAAGCAUAUCAAUAAGCGGAGGA
Molecule: unclassified non-coding RNA, 330 nt
Filed under: soil metagenome
Description: partial contains 5.8S ribosomal RNA, internal transcribed spacer 2, and large subunit ribosomal RNA
Rfam family: 5.8S ribosomal RNA (bases 6-121)
Source: RNAcentral